UACGUAGGGGCCUAGCGUUGUCCGGAAUUAUUGGGCGUAAAGAGCUCGUAGGCGGUUCGGCAAGUCGGAUGUGAAAUCUCCACGCUUAACGUGGAGGGGCCAUUCGAAACUGCUGUGACUCGAGUCCGGUAGGGGAGUGUGGAAUUCCCGGUGUAGCGGUGAAAUGCGCAGAUAUCAGGAGGAACACCGAUGGCGAAGGCAGGUCUCUGGGCAUUAACUGACGCUGAGGAGCGAAAGCAUGGGGAGCGAACAGG
Molecule: ribosomal RNA, 254 nt
Filed under: uncultured bacterium
Lineage: Bacteria
Description: partial 16S ribosomal RNA
Rfam family: Bacterial small subunit ribosomal RNA
Source: RNAcentral